Molecule: small nucleolar RNA, 107 nt
Filed under: Corchorus olitorius
Lineage: Eukaryota; Viridiplantae; Streptophyta; Magnoliopsida; Malvales; Malvaceae
Description: Plant small nucleolar RNA R71
Rfam family: Plant small nucleolar RNA R71
About the family: R71 is a member of the C/D box family of snoRNAs containing the C (UGAUGA) and D (CUGA) box motifs.
Source: Rfam by way of RNAcentral
AUGGCAUGUUGAGGACAAUCGGCGCAAGGUUUCUUGAAUCUAUCCCAAGCUAGGUAAAAAUUCUCAUCAUUGCGUUGUCGAAAACUUGUAAUCCUUUGUCUCCCCUU